This 253-nucleotide ribosomal RNA is filed under the name uncultured bacterium. RNAcentral's name for it is "partial 16S ribosomal RNA". It matches the Rfam family "Bacterial small subunit ribosomal RNA", at positions 524 to 776 of the family's 1533-position model. The record is from RNAcentral.
GACGUAGGGUGCGAGCGUUGUCCGGAUUUAUUGGGCGUAAAGAGCUCGUAGGCGGCUUGUCGCGUCGACCGUGAAAACUUGGGGCUCAACCCCAAGCCUGCGGUCGAUACGGGCAGGCUAGAGUUCGGUAGGGGAGACUGGAAUUCCUGGUGUAGCGGUGAAAUGCGCAGAUAUCAGGAGGAACACCGGUGGCGAAGGCGGCAUCCUGGACCAACACUGACGCUGAGGCGCGAAAGCUAGGGGAGCAAACGGG